GUGGCGUGUGAACUGCCCUUACCCUCUGGUUGAGUAACCAGAAAAGGUCAUGUGGGCAUCAUCGGAGAAGGCAAAAUUCCCUUCCCUAACACUGUGAGUGUUAGCCACUAAAUCCCGACAGUAACGAGUGAAUCACCGUCUUUUAAUCAGAAACUGCACAGAAAAGCUCAAAGUUUGAGGCUGAGAGAAGGGGAGGAGCAGGAACAGAAGCAGAGUGUGCAGACAAUGAGUGUGCUGGACAGAGCACAUGAUCAGAAGAUGGAUUUGGCACAUAAAGGCACAGGUCUCAAAGUCAAAUUAACUACAAGAAGAAGACCAAGGCAGCAGUGAUCAGCAGGGAGAAAAUGUACACAAGAAAAGAAAAUGUACACUGCAGAAUUUUUUUGGGAGUUUUGUAUGUCCUUCCCGAGUGAUUUUCUGCAAUGGGAUCAUCCUCUGUGGGCCACAAGGUCAGAGCACUUCCCAGGCAGGCUUUAAAGUUGGUUCAAAGGCAGUUCAGGCUCCAUUCAUUGAUAAGUUCUGAGAAACCAGGCUAGAAGAGGCAAUUUGUACACUCUGCCUAUUUAAGGAAUGAAAACGAACUCAUUUGAAGGGUCACAGCUCCGUGCCUGUGAAACCAUGGCUUUGAAGAGUCUGGAGCAGGCAAGUCAAGACU
This is a long non-coding RNA of Ficedula albicollis (Collared flycatcher), 655 nucleotides long. RefSeq lists it as uncharacterized. NCBI's taxonomy places the organism in Eukaryota, Metazoa, Chordata, Aves, Passeriformes, Muscicapidae. The record is from RefSeq and is a predicted model, not a curated record. The transcript is spliced from 3 exons.